GAUGAACGCUGGCGGCGUGCCUAAUACAUGCAAGUCGAGCGAACAGACGAGGAGCUUGCUCCUUUGACGUUAGCGGCGGACGGGUGAGUAACACGUGGAUAACCUACCUAUAAGACUGGGAUAACUUCGGGAAACCGGAGCUAAUACCGGAUAACAUGUUGAACCGCAUGGUUCAACAGUGAAAGACGGUCUUGCUGUCACUUAUAGAUGGAUCCGCGCCGCAUUAGCUAGUUGGUAAGGUAACGGCUUACCAAGGCAACGAUGCGUAGCCGACCUGAGAGGGUGAUCGGCCACACUGGAACUGAGACACGGUUCAGACUCCUACGGGAGGCAGCAGUAGGGAAUCUUCCGCAAUGGGCGAAAGCCUGACGGAGCAACGCCGCGUGAGUGAAGAAGGUCUUCGGAUCGUAAAACUCUGUUAUUAGGGAAGAACAAAUGUGUAAGUAACUAUGCACGUCUUGACGGUACCUAAUCAGAAAGCCACGGCUAACUACGUG
Molecule: ribosomal RNA, 497 nt
Filed under: uncultured bacterium
Lineage: Bacteria
Description: partial 16S ribosomal RNA
Rfam family: Bacterial small subunit ribosomal RNA
Source: RNAcentral